This 500-nucleotide ribosomal RNA is filed under the name uncultured bacterium. RNAcentral's name for it is "partial 16S ribosomal RNA". It matches the Rfam family "Bacterial small subunit ribosomal RNA", at positions 29 to 523 of the family's 1533-position model. The record is from RNAcentral.
AACGAACGCUGGCGGCGUGCCUAACACAUGCAAGUCGAACGAGAAAGUCCUUCGGGAUGAGUAGAGUGGCGCACGGGAGAGUAAGGAAUAGGAACGUACCUUUUGGAGGGGGAUAACUACGGGAAACCGUGGCUAAUACCGUAUGAGAUCGAGAGAUGAAAGGAGGCAUCUGCUUGCAAGCUUCCGCCGAUAGAGCGGCCUAUUUCCCAUUAGCUAGUUGGUAGGGUAAAAGCCUACCAAGGCGACGAUGGGUAGCUGGUCUGAGAGGACGAUAAGGCACACUGGAACUGAGACACGGUCCAGACUCCUACGGGAGGCAGCAGUGGGGAAUCUUGCACAAUGGGCGCAAGCCUGAUGCAGCAACGCCGCGUGAGUGAAGAAGGCCCUUGGGUUGUAAAGCUCUUUCGGCUGGGAAGAAGGGGAUAUUGGUGAAUAUCCAAUAAUUCUGACGGUACCAGCAUAAGAAGCACCGGCUAAUUCCGUGCCAGCCGCCGCGGUAA